RNAcentral lists this ribosomal RNA (484 nucleotides) under uncultured bacterium. RNAcentral describes it as "partial 16S ribosomal RNA". It matches the Rfam family "Bacterial small subunit ribosomal RNA", at positions 30 to 507 of the family's 1533-position model. The record is from RNAcentral.
AUUGAACGCUGGCGGCAUGCUUUACACAUGCAAGUCGAACGGCAGCGCGGGCUUCUGCCUCCCCGCGCGUUGCGAACGGGCGAGUAAUUCACCGGAACGUGCCCUGCCUUUGGGGAUGGCCUGGCGAAAGCCGGCUUAAUACCGCAUCCGAUCAUAUGUUGAACGCGGGGGUCCGAUAGUCCUCGCCCGAUUUGAUCGCCCGAAGCCGGAUUAGCUAGUUGGUUGGGUAAAGGCUUACCAAGGCGACGAUCCGUAGCUGGUCUGAGAGGCCGACCGGCCACACUGGAACUGAGACACGGCCCAGACUCCUACGGGAGGCAGCAGUAGGGAAUUUUCGGCAAUGGGGGAAAGCCUGAUGCAGCAAUGCCGCGUGCGUGAAGAAGGCCUUCGGGUUGUAAACCGCUUUUAUUCGGGAAGAAAAACUGUGGACUAAACCACGGGGGGGAUGACGGUACCGGAAGAAUAAGCACCGGCUAACUACGUG